ACUGACGUGAUAACCAACUACACCACGACACCAGACGUUUAAACGAAUCUAUGAAAAGUAUAUGAUCACAGUUAAGGAAAUUCAUAUAAUUUGAUAAACCACCUUGCAAAACUGCCUCUUCAGUAGGAAAAUCGUUCAUCAGAGCGGAGCAGAGAUGAUUGAUUCUCCGUCCCUUCACUGCCCUUUCAGCACGAUUUGGCCGUCACUGCAUCACAGUUGGCAUUACAAUUCUCCCAAAUCGACAAAAUUCCGGCCACCCCAUUUCAGUUUGUCUCUUGUCCAUGGCUCAGGACCAAUGGGGUUUCCUGUUUUUGCCAUGAAGAGGUCUGGGAAAGGCGGCAUUGCCCUCACUGAACAGAGUGAUUCCGACAUUGAGUUCGAUGAAUUUUUUGAUGAGGAUGAAGAUGAUUUUCAGGACGAGGAUGAAGAUGAAAUUCUUUUGCCGUUGAAGAACACGAGAGAGUGGCAUGCGGCGAGGCCUCGUGGAUUUGGAGAAGGGAAUGAGUAUGAUACAUCGAUUGAAGACAAAUUGUUGCAAGAAAUGAAGCAGAGUAGGGAAGCUCAGACUGCAAAUAUCAAUAAGCUCUAGAAUCAGUCUUCUUCUGAGUCCAAAACUAGUAGAAAUGCCAUAGAGAAAGUAGCUCCAGAGAUUGUUAGUACUGGAGUUCGUGUACGCAUUGUCAACCUUCCUAAAAAAAAAGAACAUUCACAGAGACCUGAUCGUGGCUUUUAAAGGCUUUCCUGGAAUCAUCAAUAUAACUCCUGCAGUCAUUGGAAACAAAAAGACUAGGGAACCAAUCUGCAAGGGUUUUGCAUUUGUUGAUUGCAAUUCUGAAGGAGAUGCCUUAAGUUUUCUACCAGCAUUUUCUGGACGAUAUCUUACGUUUGGGAGGGUUCAGAAGCAAAUAAAAUGUGAAAUAAUGAAUCGAAAAACUUCGAGUUCAACUUGCAAAAGUUCAGUGGAUAGUAUCUAUCAUUUUCAACUAAAUAUUCUUGAAGAGGAAGCAGAACAGUUUGCUGACAUGGACGUGGAUUUAGCGGUGAAUUCAUGAGAACAAGGAUCGAGGAUAUUGAAGACAGUUUGGCAAAUGUCAGUGAAUUACAUUCGGACGAUGAUGAUAAUGAUGUCUAAUCAAGAACAGAGUCCAAAAUUCGGUCACCAUCCCAAAAGGACUGGUGAUACUUAAAUUCUUGGGAAUUAAGGUUUUGUAUAGAAAGUAAUUUGUAGUUAAGUAACAGUGGAGAGUUUUUUUCAAGUUCAUUGGCCGAGUUGUGUAAGUGUUGGGAUAAUGGGUGCCUUUUGACUUUGGGUCCAUUUGGGAUUUUGGGAGGAUUAAAAAUAGUUUUAGGAUAAUGUUAACUGUUUUAUACGUUUGGUAAAACAUGGAAGGGCUUUUUGCAUAGCUCUAAACAAAUAGGUGUAAUUACCAAAAUGUCUAAAGUUUCCUACUUUUGUA
Molecule: RNA transcript, 1457 nt
Organism: Benincasa hispida (wax gourd)
Lineage: Eukaryota; Viridiplantae; Streptophyta; Magnoliopsida; Cucurbitales; Cucurbitaceae
Source: RefSeq, a predicted model, not a curated record